Molecule: ribosomal RNA, 475 nt
Filed under: uncultured bacterium
Lineage: Bacteria
Description: bacterial SSU rRNA
Rfam family: Bacterial small subunit ribosomal RNA
Source: RNAcentral
UUGAACGCUGGCGGCAUGCUUUACACAUGCGAGUCGAACGGUAACAGGUUAAGCUGACGAGUGGCGAACGGGUGAGUAAUGCAUCGGAACGUGCCCGAUCGUGGGGGAUAACGCAGCGAAAGCUGCGCCAAUACCGCAUACGAUCUGAGGAUGAAAGCGGGGGACCGUAAGGCCUCGCGCGAUCGGAGCGGCCGAUGUCAGAUUAGGUAGUUGGUGGGAUAAAAGCUUACCAAGCCGACGAUCUGUAGCUGGUCUGAGAGGACGACCAGCCACACUGGGACUGCGACACGGCCCAGACUCCUACGGGAGGCAGCAGUGGGGAAUUUUGGACAAUGGGCGAAAGCCUGAUCCAGCCAUGCCGCGUGCAGGAUGAAGGCCUUCGGGUUGUAAACUGCUUUUGUACGGAACGAAAAAGUCUUCUCUAAUACAGGGGGCGAAUGACGGUACCGUAAUAAUACGCACCGGCUAACUACGU